This 468-nucleotide ribosomal RNA is filed under the name uncultured bacterium. RNAcentral's name for it is "partial 16S ribosomal RNA". It matches the Rfam family "Bacterial small subunit ribosomal RNA", at positions 28 to 507 of the family's 1533-position model. The record is from RNAcentral.
GACGAACGCUGGCGGCGUGCUUAACACAUGCAAGUCGAACGGAAAGGCCCUGCUUUUGUGGGGUGCUCGAGUGGCGAACGGGUGAGUAACACGUGAGUAACCUGCCCUUGACUUUGGGAUAACUUCAGGAAACUGGGGCUAAUACCGGAUAGGAGCUCCUGCUGCAUGGUGGGGGUUGGAAAGUUUCGGCGGUUGGGGAUGGACUCGCGGCUUAUCAGCUUGUUGGUGGGGUAGUGGCUUACCAAGGCUUUGACGGGUAGCCGGCCUGAGAGGGUGACCGGCCACAUGGGGACUGAGAUACGGCCCAGUCUCCUACGGGAGGCAGCAGUGGGGAAUAUUGCACAAUGGGCGGAAGCCUGAUGCAGCAACGCCGCGUGCGUGAUGACGGCCUUCGGGUUGUAAACCGCUUUCGCCUGUGACGAAGCGUGAGUGACGGUAAUGGGUAAAGAAGCACCGGCUAACUACGUG